This 496-nucleotide ribosomal RNA is filed under the name uncultured bacterium. Its description in RNAcentral is "partial 16S ribosomal RNA". It matches the Rfam family "Bacterial small subunit ribosomal RNA", at positions 30 to 523 of the family's 1533-position model. The record is from RNAcentral.
AUUGAACGCUGGCGGAAUGCUUUACACAUGCAAGUCGAACGGUAGAGGGGGCAACCCCUCGAGAGUGGCGAACGGGUGAGUAAUAUAUCGGAACGUGCCCAGCCGUGGGGGAUAACGCAGCGAAAGUUACGCUAAUACCGCAUAAGAUCUAAGAAUGCAAGCGGGGGAGCGCAAGACCUCGCGCGAUUGGAGCGGCGGAUGUCAGAUUAGGUAUUUGGUGGGGUAAAGGAUCACAAAGCCAACGAUCUGUAGUUGGUCUGAGAGGACGACCAGCCACCCUGGAACUGAGACACGGUCCAGACUCCUACGGGAGGAAGCAGUGGGGAAUUUUGGACAAUGGACGCAAGUCUGAUCCAGCCAUUCCGCGUGCAGGAUGAAGGCCCUCGGGUUGUAAACUGCUUUUGUACGGAACGAAAAGGUCUCUCUUAAUACGGGGGGCUCAUGACGGUACCGUAAGAAUAAGCACCGGCUAACUACGUGCCAGCCGCCGCGGUAA